AAAAGCCUCGAGCACCCGGGAUUCCCAGGUGGUCUCCCAUCCAAGAUCCUAACCAGGCCCGACCCUGCUUAGCUUCCGAGAUCAGACGAGAUCGGGCGCCUUCAGGCUGAUACGGCCUGAGACGGUGGCGGUGGGCUCGGGGCGCCCUAAGAGCCUUGCGCUUCGCCUCCCUUUCGCUCUGCCCUGCAGGUCGGGCCAACGGGCCGCACCUCUCGUCGCGGGGCGUGCUGUACUUGAGCCGCACGACCCGCGACCGGACUCCAGCCUGCUGACGCCGGCCCGCCCCCCCGAACACCGCCAACACCAGACCAGCAAGCGCCUGGCCGGGCCCGGGGGCCCGAGGGGCUUCCAGGACCCCCCAUUGACCGGGAGGGCGUGCGUGCGUGCGUGCGUGCGCGCGGGGCCUGGGGGCUGGGCUGAGGGGUGCGGAGGUCUCGGCGCCCUCCCACCCGCGGCCACUCCAGACCCGGCCGCUGCUGAGCGGGCCUCCCCGAU
This 495-nucleotide long non-coding RNA is filed under the name Bos grunniens (domestic yak). RNAcentral's name for it is "lncRNA (ENSBGRG00000019685.1)". Lineage: Eukaryota; Metazoa; Chordata; Mammalia; Artiodactyla; Bovidae. The record is from RNAcentral.